Molecule: ribosomal RNA, 253 nt
Filed under: uncultured bacterium
Lineage: Bacteria
Description: partial 16S ribosomal RNA
Rfam family: Bacterial small subunit ribosomal RNA
Source: RNAcentral
UACGGAGGGAGCUAGCGUUAUUCGGAAUUACUGGGCGUAAAGCGCACGUAGGCGGCUUUGUAAGUAAGGGGUGAAAGCCUGGUGCUCAACACCAGAACUGCCCUUUAGACUGCAUCGCUUGAAUCCAGGAGAGGUGAGUGGAAUUCCGAGUGUAGAGGUGAAAUUCGUAGAUAUUCGGAAGAACACCAGUGGCGAAGGCGGCUCACUGGACUGGUAUUGACGCUGAGGUGCGAAAGCGUGGGGAGCAAACAGG